RNAcentral lists this long non-coding RNA (1246 nucleotides) under Meriones unguiculatus (Mongolian gerbil). RNAcentral describes it as "lncRNA (ENSMUGG00000023506.1)". The record is from RNAcentral. Lineage: Eukaryota; Metazoa; Chordata; Mammalia; Rodentia; Muridae.
GUCUGUGUUUCCUGAAAUGGGUAAAGUAAAUGGCACCAUUCUUACCUCACGCUGGUCUUUCUCCUCGCUGGGCACCUGGGCACGAUGGGACCUGCUCUCCAUAUAGGCCAACAAGGAAGCUGAUCCAAGUAGGUCAAGUUUCAACGUGGGCGAUUCGUGCACCGCUAGGGCAGACACCCACCGUGCCUGUGAGUAGAUGGCAUCCUCCCGAACUGGACUGCUUCUCCAGCCGUGCUUCAGAUUUGCCCCAAGUGGACACUUCAGAUGUGUCACAGCGCUGCGAGGUGGCUCUGUUGGUUCUAGAGAUCGAUGAUCUCAUCUGUGUUUCGACACCCUUCACAGAGAAACCGAUGGGUAGCAGCUGUGGCUACAAGUUCCUUCGGAGAGGACAGAGUAACCUCUCACCAGGAGCCAGAAAUAGCCCUUCUGCCACAGGUGGUGGCAAAGCAACCUUUGAGGAAAAUUUGCAUAGCCCUCGAGGAGUCAAGAGAACAUGGUUCUCCUGAAAGCAGCUGCUGAAGGAACGGGGACACCAAGGGAUAAGAAGAAAAGCCACAGCAUUCAUAUAUAUUUGUAAAAAUACCUUAAGACUUUAAAAUGUUUUUCAAAAUCAUCCGAAUGAAAAAAAAAAAACAACAAAAAAAACCAAAACCCUUUAUUUUGUUUCUUUUCAUUUUACUGAGCUAGGGUCCUGUAGUCCAGGCUGACCUGCCUCUGUGUAUCCCUAUUUAGCCUCGGUUCACCCUCUUUCAAACUCAGAGUGCUGGGGCUAGAGGUGCACAAGCUUGCUUCAUCAAAUACUGAUCAUUGUUGUAAGGUCGACAGUAUAAAUCUGUUAUAAAUUUGACAAUAACAUUUUAAAUGCUUUGCCUGGGUGAUAUUACAGGCAUGAGGCCGAGGAAAAUGGAGAAAUUACCUGAGGUUUUAUUUUUUUGUUGUUUGUUUUUUUCUCAACAAGCCUCCACCUCCUAUAAUAAUAGUGGAGUGCAACAUGGACACUCAGGAUCGCUGUGGACUUUCGUGACCUGCCCAGGCAAUCUGCAGAGCCUCCUUCAGGGGCUCAGGACCCGACUCCCCUUCUCAGCCUUGACGUGGGCCAUGUUCCAGAACCCUCUCUCAGAGAGCUAGAGAUUGCUGCUGCUUGCCUAGCAAUUGUGAGCACGGAGGCUCUUCACCCUGAGAGCCUCUUUGAUGGGGUUUAUGCCUGAGGUGCCUCAAACCAUUGCCUCACCUGCUUGCUCUGCAC